RNAcentral lists this long non-coding RNA (806 nucleotides) under Trifolium pratense (red clover). Its description in RNAcentral is "long non-coding RNA (TPRA_LNC008874)". The record is from RNAcentral. Lineage: Eukaryota; Viridiplantae; Streptophyta; Magnoliopsida; Fabales; Fabaceae.
AAAAAAAAAAAGAGCCCGCUAAGUUAAUAUUUAUGAAUGAAGAAAAAUUGAAGAGACUUAGGCAAAAGUUAGGGCAUCCUGAUGGACCACAAAUUCAAAAGAAAUGGUCCAUGCAAAAGUAAGGGAUUAAGAGAAAAAAUGGAACAACCUUGUGAAAAAAAGAAGUGAUUGUCAUCUCAAAAAAAAAAACUUCAUCCGUGCUUCGACCAUUGUAUCUAUCUCGGUCAUCAUAGCUACCAAAAUUCUCUUGCCAACUGAAUGCAUCCAUUGAGUUAAUUGAGUUUAGGAAUGGAGGACAUCAAAGGAGAACGGGUGGGAUAAAAUAAAAUUUUGAGCCUUAUAAUCCUUUUUUCAAAAACCGUGAACCAGGUCACGUUAUAACCCUCAAAAGACCUAAUUGAAGCUNNNNNNNNNNNNNNNNNNNNNNNNNNNNNNNNNNNNUGAAAGCAUACUCAGCAAAAUUGUUGUUAAACUGACUCCUCAUGUUUGUGAAUCAUUGCUAAUCAUUUUCUUUCUAUCAUGUUCCUUGUAACAUUAUCCGAUUUCAAAAAAAAUUGCAUGUGAGUUACAUUAAAAUUACUUCUCAAAAGAAACAAUUUCACUAACAAAUCAAUACUUAGCAUUGAGGAAAUUUCAACAAGGGUCUGAUUAAAAGGUGAAUCAUUUCAAGACAUUCUUAACAAGGGGCAAAUCACCUAGGGGUCCUGCUAAUCAAGAGUACAUCCUUAUAAUCAAGGGGCAGAUUAUCCGAAAAUCUUGUUGACUGAGGCCAAAAUGUUUCUAAGGAUGGAUCAAACCUUCGAAGC